RNAcentral lists this ribosomal RNA (448 nucleotides) under uncultured bacterium. RNAcentral describes it as "bacterial SSU rRNA". It matches the Rfam family "Bacterial small subunit ribosomal RNA", at positions 330 to 795 of the family's 1533-position model. The record is from RNAcentral.
ACCAGACUCCUACGGGAGGCAGCAGUGGGGAAUAUUGCACAAUGGGGGAAACCCUGAUGCAGCGACGCCGCGUGAAGGAAGAAGUAUUUCGGUAUGUAAACUUCUAUCAGCAGGGAAGAAAAUGACGGUACCUGACUAAGAAGCCCCGGCUAACUACGUGCCAGCAGCCGCGGUAAUACGUAGGGGGCAAGCGUUAUCCGGAUUUACUGGGUGUAAAGGGAGCGUAGACGGCAAGGCAAGUCUGGAGUGAAAGCCCGUGGCUCAACCACGGGACUGCUUUGGAAACUGUGUUGCUGGAGUGCAGGAGGGGUAAGCGGAAUUCCUAGUGUAGCGGUGAAAUGCGUAGAUAUUAGGAGGAACACCGGUGGCGAAGGCGGCUUACUGGACUGUAACUGACGUUGAGGCUCGAAGGCGUGGGGAGCAAACAGGAUUAGAGACCCGAGUAGUA